This 403-nucleotide ribosomal RNA is filed under the name uncultured bacterium. RNAcentral's name for it is "bacterial SSU rRNA". It matches the Rfam family "Bacterial small subunit ribosomal RNA", at positions 356 to 773 of the family's 1533-position model. The record is from RNAcentral.
GGGGAAUAUUGGGCAAUGGGCGAAAGCCUGACCCAGCGACGCCGCGUGAAGGAUGAAGGUCUUCGGAUUGUAAACUUCUUUGAUCAGGGAAGAAAGAAAUGACGGUACCUGAAAAACAAGCCACGGCUAACUACGUGCCAGCAGCCGCGGUAAUACGUAGGUGGCAAGCGUUGUCCGGAUUUACUGGGUGUAAAGGACGUGUAGGCGGGGAUGCAAGUCAGAUGUGAAAUCCCGUGGCUCAACCACGGAACUGCAUCUGAAACUGUAUCUCUUGAGUGUCGGAAGGGAAAGUGGAAUUCCUAGUGUAGCGGUGAAAUGCGUAGAUAUUAGGAGGAACACCGGUGGCGAAGGCGACUUUCUGGACGAUAACUGACGCUGAGACGCGAAAGCGUGGGGAGCAAAC